GUGGUUCAAAGGGAGUUCCCUUCAGUCCACUCAUAGGGAGAUAGAGGGUACGGAUUUGCUGCCGACUCAUUCAUACAAACACAAUAGGAAGGACCUAUUGUGAAUGCGUGAAUGAUGCGGGAGUCAGAUCUAACCUUUUUCUUUCUGUGCUUGGACUGAAGGGAGCUCCCUUGACCGUCUUU
Non-coding RNA from Helianthus annuus (common sunflower), 182 nucleotides. The record is from Rfam. Lineage: Eukaryota; Viridiplantae; Streptophyta; Magnoliopsida; Asterales; Asteraceae.